GACGAACGCUGGCGGCGUGCCUAAUACAUGCAAGUAGAACGCUGAAGGAAGGAGCUUGCUCUUUCUGGAUGAGUUGCGAACGGGUGAGUAACGCGUAGGUAACCUGCCUGGUAGCGGGGGAUAACUAUUGGAAACGAUAGCUAAUACCGCAUAAAAUUGAUUAUUGCAUGAUAGUCAAUUAAAAGGUGCAACUGCACCACUACCAGAUGGACCUGCGUUGUAUUAGCUAGUUGGUGGGGUAACGGCUCACCAAGGCGACGAUACAUAGCCGACCUGAGAGGGUGAUCGGCCACACUGGGACUGAGACACGGCCCAGACUCCUACGGGAGGCAGCAGUAGGGAAUCUUCGGCAAUGGACGGAAGUCUGACCGAGCAACGCCGCGUGAGUGAAGAAGGUUUUCGGAUCGUAAAGCUCUGUUGUAAGAGAAGAACGAGUGUGAGAGUGGAAAGUUCACACUGUGACGGUAUCUGACCAGAAAGGGACGGCUAACUACGUG
This 497-nucleotide ribosomal RNA is filed under the name uncultured bacterium. Its description in RNAcentral is "partial 16S ribosomal RNA". It matches the Rfam family "Bacterial small subunit ribosomal RNA", at positions 28 to 507 of the family's 1533-position model. The record is from RNAcentral.